RNAcentral lists this ribosomal RNA (542 nucleotides) under uncultured archaeon. Its description in RNAcentral is "bacterial SSU rRNA". It matches the Rfam family "Archaeal small subunit ribosomal RNA", at positions 326 to 869 of the family's 1478-position model. The record is from RNAcentral.
CGGGGUGCAGCAGGCGCGAAAACUUUACAAUGCACGAAAGUGUGAUAAGGGAAUCCUAAGUGCUCAUACACAGUAUGGGCUUUUGCCAAGGGUAAAUACCUUGGAGAAUAAGUGGUGGGCAAGACUGGUGCCAGCAGCCGCGGUAACACCAGCGCCACAAGUGGGAGCCACAAUUAUUUGGCCUAAAGCGUCCGUAGCUGGUCGUGUAAAUCUUUUGUGAAAUCGGAAAGCUUAACUUUCCGGCGUGCAGAAGACACUGCUCGACUUGAGACCGGGAGGGGUAAGGAGUAUUUCCAGGGAACCGGUAAAAUGGGAUAAUCCUGGAAGGACUACCUGUGGCGAAGGCGCCUUACCAGAACGGGUCUGACAGUGAGGGACGAAGGCUAGGGGAGCGAACCGGAUUAGAUACCCGAGUAGUCCUAGCAGUAAACUCUGCGGGCUAGGUGUUGCACCAUCCAAGUGAUUGUGCAGUGUCGUAGCGAAGGCAAUAAGCCCGCCGCCUGGGAAGUAUGGUCGCAAGACUGAAACUUAAAGGAAUUGGC